CUGAGCAGGGAGCCGAUGUGAGACUCGAUCCCAGGACCCUGGCAUCAUGACCUGAGUUGAAGGACUGAGGUUCAGGCUAUAUGCAAGGAUGUGCCUCUUAUGUCUGCGUGGUGCCUGUUCUGACUCUGAACAGCCUUUGCUCUACUGACAGUUCCAUGUAGCCUUCAUGCCCAGUGUGGAGCCCGACAUGGGAACUUGAACUUGCAACCCUGAGAUCAAGACCUGAGCUGAGAUCAAGUGUUGGAUACUUAACCAAAUGAGCCGCCCAGGCACCUGUGUUGAAAACUUUAUCAAAGAAAAGGACAAGAUAGCAUGUCUUUCAAUUACCUGAGUUUAUAUUACCUAAUGGGGUAAGGAUGUCCCCUCCAUACCCUGUGCAACUGGAAUGGUCUUUGGCCAUCUGUCUUCAUAGUGCCUACAAAACCCUUUUUAUUCUGCGAAUUCUAGGAAUUUUACAUCAAACGAUAUUACAUGAUAAUUUUUAACAAACUGAACAUACUACCAUGAAAUUUAAACUUUAUAGAAAAGUAAUCCUUUAUCCCCUAUAUGCUGUGUAAAUCAAGGGUUCUUAUCUAGUCGGAAGGUACAGCUCAGGCCUUUAUAAUAACCAAUUAUUGCUUUAAAAAUCUGGUGUCUGGCACUUUAGAAAAUGGUUGCAUUCAAUUUUCACUAGAUGGCAGCAGAAGACAUUGAUCAGGCUCCAAUGCUGUACUAAACUCCUGUAAGCACUCCUCCCAUAGCUAUUGUCGGAUUCUGGAGUUGGCCUGGGGUUAGUUACCCUUUUCUGCACAUAGAAAGCUUUCUUUAAUUUUUUAUUGGUGGCCCCAAAUCCUGUGGUCACUGGAGCCCUGCUUGUACCUGCUGGCCACCACACAGCCACGUGUCUACCCUUGCCCUUUGCUCGCAUGGGCGAUCUCAAACAUUCCUCCAUGUAGAUUAAAGUUUGAAUGGAGUUGGAGUGAACUUGGCGGUUCCACCUCAUUUAUCAGGUGGCAGCCCCCUCACAAGAAUGCGGUCUUUGAGUUCAUUCUCCUGUCUGCGCGGCCCCCCUCCAACACCUUACCCAGUUAGACAUGAAUCUAUGUAGCCCAGCUGGGUUUCUGGCCAGAUCCCUUUCAUGGACAAUGAGCAGUUUCUCCUCUCAGGAUGAAUUUGGUUUUACUCCAACCUGCAUCUGUCCCACAGGGGAUCCCCUGUCAGAUGCCUCAAAGUUUUCUACAGCAGAGAAUGGGUAAAAGUACUCUUCCACCCAGAUAUUCAGUGCCUUUUUCGCAUUUCCUUCCCCAAUUAGUCUAUUGGUUGAGCUCAAGGCUUUGAAGGUUUACCCUACUGCUGCCAUCACUCUGCGAUGCCAUGGGAAGGUCUUCUUAGAUUCAACCUAAUAUUCACACUCAUAAGACCUAGUCACUAUAGUGACACUGGCCUAUUCAGAAGUCAUAGGACAGGAACCACACAUGCCAGCAAGUCAGUGUCAGAUAUUCCCAACAAUGGGAAUCUUUGGAGCAGUUCACUCAGCAGAUGGCUCAGGUGCAAGAAGAUAAGGGCUACAUAGGGCAGGUACGCAAGUUGCCCUGAUUUCAUGCCCCCUGGCAAACAAUAUCUCUGGAAACAACUGCAAAAUCAUGACUUCUAUGGUCCCCACAAGAGAUUCACAGGUUAGAAAAGGAAUCCAAGCCUGUAGUGACUCUCUGUCCAGAUAAAAGUUCCAAACCAGGGGUCAUUUUUAUCAUAAGCAAUGCUGCCUAGUAACAUUGUUGAGACAUACCAUUUUUAUCUGUUUCCAGGAAAACAUAGUGAGAAAAUUAACCAAAAGUCAGACUCUUAUACAAGGGGAGAAAAGGUUUAAUACAUUACCUAUGCCUAGAAGUUCAAAGAGUCAACUGAAAAACUGUAGUACUUUGUUUAAUGAAAAUGAAUGAAGAGAUCCAACAAAAUGGCCAGAUAUACUUUUUUUGAAGUCUUUGAAUGUAGCAAAGAUUACAUAAUGUAAUAGGAUAAACAUUUCUUUCAUAAUACCAACAGAAACCACAAUUACUUAAUAGAUAUAAUAUACAUGAUAAUAUAACAAAAAAUAUUCGUCCUACAUGACGAAAAACUUAAAACUUGACUGAAAUUCCUGAAUAAAUGAACCAUGUUAAUUGGAUGAAAAGAGUCAAUAUUAUAGAGAUAUAAAUGCUCUCCGAAUAAACUACAAAUGUGGCAUAACUCCAAUAAAAAUUCCAGUAGAGUUUUCUGAGGAAUUUGAAAAAUUGAUCCAAAAUUCACCUGGAAGCAUAUAUGUGUAAGAAAUUUUUGAAAGGAAAAGAGUUGGACUUGUUUUGUAGACAUCAAACCUACUACAAAGUUAUAGUGAUCAAGAAUGCAACUUUGGCCCAGAAAUAGGCAUAUGUAUCAGUAGAAUUGAAUAAUUAUGUUCAGAAACAGAUACUUUAGUUUUAUGUUGAUAUAACUUAUGUAAAACACAUAAAUCUUAUGUGAGCACAGUAUAUUUUUACAUGUGUGUAUUUCUGCUUAGCCACCACGCAGAUAAAGAUAUAGAUUAUUUCGGUUCCCCAAGAGAUUGCUUGUCCUCUGUCCCAGUUGUUAUCAAUCCCCUCAUCAAAAAUAACCAUGGGUCAGUUUUGCCUCUUUAUGAAUUUCAUGUGAAUAGAAUCAUACAGAUGUAACCGUUUGUGGCUGGGUAGUUUUGUCAGCAUUACAUUUGUGAUAUUCAUCCAGGUGCUUGUGUGAAGCAAUAGUUUGUCUUUUUUUUUCAUUAUUAUAGUAUUCCAUUUGGUACAAUAGUAUUUCAUUAUAUGGAUGCGACAAAAUAUGGUCACCCAUUCUAUUGUUGAUGGAAUUGGGGUUGCUUCUAGUUUUUGGUCAUUACAAAUAAAGCUUCUAUGAACAUUC
Canis lupus familiaris (dog) is the source of this 2892-nucleotide long non-coding RNA. RefSeq lists it as uncharacterized. The record is from RefSeq and is a predicted model, not a curated record. NCBI's taxonomy places the organism in Eukaryota, Metazoa, Chordata, Mammalia, Carnivora, Canidae. The transcript is spliced from 3 exons.